Falco peregrinus (peregrine falcon) is the source of this 9488-nucleotide RNA transcript. It is a transcript of the gene named heparan sulfate glucosamine 3-O-sulfotransferase 1-like, with no coding region annotated. The record is from RefSeq and is a predicted model, not a curated record. The transcript has 4 exons. Lineage: Eukaryota; Metazoa; Chordata; Aves; Falconiformes; Falconidae.
CCACAUCUGUUGUGGCUCCUCCUAGUCAGGGUUUGUGACUCUUUUGUCACAAGUCUCACAAAUUUCAAGUCUUAAAGUCCAGAUCCUGAAUGUAUGUGAUGGCUCCUAAAUAUGAUUUUACCUUAAAGACCUAGGUGAAAAUUGUCAGAGCUUAAAGGUUCCGAAGAAUUGCUUUAGGCACUCUCAGCCAUCAGGAAGCCUUUCUGAGAAGUUGUAACUGAUUUGAAGUGAAGCAGUAUUAAAUGAAUAGUGCAGAAGGCUUAUCUGGGUGCAAAGUAGCACUGAGCUAUGGGGGAGAAGCGAUGCUGUAUGGCAAGGAACACAUUCUGCUUGAAUUAACCAUGCUAUUUGAUGCAGUGCUACUGCAGGUAUUUUUCCCCUGGGUUUUCAGAUGUAAAGCACAACCACAGAAGGUGGGUUUUGUGGGGUGACCUUAAACUUGUAGAUUCAGAGAUUGGUUUUGCACAGGGAAGUUGUCACAAUAACUGGCUGGAGAGGGAGUUGCUUUGUUUUCUGCUGAAGUUUAAGAGGUUUUGACAUGUGUAUGUAUAUCUUUGGUUGGACUACUGACACGUCUACAGGUUCAGGCUGUACAUCAAGGUUUGAAAGAUUGGAACUGUGGAGAAACUUACUCUUAAGUUCUGUCAUUCCUAACUAAGAAGUGCAAGGACCCUUACUAAAUCUCCAAAAUCCUGGAGAUAUGCAUAAGAAGUGUUUGGUAUUAGCUAUCUGCUCUCAGAUUUUUCAAUAAUGAGUAUUCUUUUACUGUAGUUUAACAUACCACUUUGGCGGUGGGAACAGAUCUGAUAAAGAACAAAGAAUCUGAUUUCUGCUUUUCUAUGAUAUCCAGAAAAUAAACUGUCUUCUAUUUACUCCAUGUUUUCAGGCUGUCAUCUUUGACUCUCAGUUUUAGCCUAAGGAACAGUGUGAAAGAGGCGUGAGUUUGGCACACCUAUUUUCUGUGUCAUACUCUGGUUAUUAGGUAUUUUCAAAUGUUUCCUCAAUUUUCAUCCCUGUGUCUCUGCAGCUGCCUGCUGGGUUGAACAUGCAUGUAACUCAAUAAUGGAUAUGUAUUGAAGGUAUUGAGUUUUAAUUCAACAAGAGUAUUGUCUAUUUGUUUCUUUCCUAACGUGUUUACCUGUUCUGUAUCGUGAUACUAUAUUUACCUUUGCAGCAAGGAUUUGUUUACCAGCGUAAGACAGAAUUUUGCCUUUUCACUACUUUCUGUGUUAAUCAGCUUUAAGGAUUGAUAGGCGGUUGCUCUGUGUGGUCUCUGACUUCAAGUUCUGCAUGUUUAUUUACUUUGAGGAAAGGUAGACUAUGAGGAGGUUUUUUUAAUGUAAUUUUGGAUUCUUUGAUGCCAAAGUCUCUCAGCAUACCUAAACUCAGUGUAGACUAGGCAGGUUUCUUAGUUUACAAAUCCUGUUAUUGCAUCAAACAAGCAUACUCAGGUCUUUUGUCUCUGAUCGUUAUCUUGAUCUUUUCUCUUAUCAGGGCCUAUGCUAGUACCCAAAGUUUCAAAAUUAGAUUUUCAGCUUUAAAUCAGUUGUCUAGAUGAUUUAUGUUUCCAAUAUCUCUAUAUUCCCUCACAUCCUGUUUUAUAGUCACUCUUUAAAAAAAAAAAAAAAAAUUGCUCCUGAGCUCUUUUCUAUUUUUCUUCGCAGUACUUUUCACAAUCUUGGCUUAACUAGAAACUACCAAAAAUAUCAAAUACUUAAGAAGUAGCUGUAGUCAGAAAAAUAAAUAUGCUCUUUGGCUGCAUGCAGUAAUGAAGUACUUCCUAAACUUUGUUCAGUCAUCCUUUAUAAGGCCAGAUCAUUUGAACUCUGAUGGGCCUUUCAACUGCUUUGUUUUACUGUGGAUGAAUUCUCAGCUCACUUUUUACAGCGAUGCUUUUCAGUAUAUUCCUGAGCCAAGAAGUUGGCUCCUUCUCUUAGUGUCUCAAUUUGACAUUAGAAGGUCUCCAAUCUGCUGACUGUUGGAUAGUAGGACUUACUACCGAGGGAAGGAUCAAUUUAUUUCAUACUUUGUACAGUGGGUAUAUACAGCAAUUAGAUAAGACCCAAUACAGCAGUAUUUACCAGUCAACAUCAUGUAACUACUUCCCAGAGACUAAUGCCAAAGCCUUGGAAAAGUUCUCCAAAAAGAUAUUAUAAGCAGAGAGUAAGGUACUGACCUUGGCUCUGCAGACUUGGCUGAAGUCCUUAACUGUGUGAGAGCAUUCAAGGUGGGGGACAGAGGAGCCUCUUUGCCUGUAAGACUAAUGCGUCGUGGCUUCUCUUCCAGGCCAGCUCAUCACGUGUCACUCCUGGCUGUCUUAGGUCGCUCCCCAUGCAGCUGCCAAUGUCUGGUGAGCUCUGCCUGGACUGCUCUCACCCUGCAAUAGGACAGUGCUGAGAGCAUAAGGUUUAAUAUUGGCAAGUUCUGCCCAGAACUCUUCUGUGAGACAAAGUCUUCCCUUUUUUGGAGUCCUUGAAGCUGUAAUGCUUUCGAGUACCCACCAGUUCAAUCAGGGGUUUAUGGUUUGGGGGUUUUUGAAUGUCAGGAAGCUCUGCUUCUUAUAAGACAGCGUAACGGUUCUAGGGUCACCUGUCUGACGUGGAUCUUCUGUGGGAGUUUGCUGUUUUGUACAACAGAGCACUAACUUGUCGUCAUCCCUACUGAACGCUUCUGUUGCCAUCUCUGACACUCUGAGGAAUCUUUCCCUUUGAAAGACAGGUCUCAUAAACCCUCUGCAGCAAAAUCUAAUUUUAAUUCUUAAACAUCAGUGAGUAUUAAGGUGUUAUUUAUGACAAUGAGUGUGGGCAAAUGAAUAAUAUUAAAUUAAUUAUACCAGAGGGAGAGAGGUUGAAGUUUUACCUUAGUAAGCUCUGUAGAAAUAAAACAAGAGCCAGUUAUCAGCCACACAUCAUUACACCUUGCAUCUUUGUAAUUACACAGUUACUGCUUAUUUGGCUGAAGACCUGGCGUGGCAUCUUUGUUACUUCAGUUACUUUAGUCCUGAUGCAUAAUUAACAAUUAGAGGUGUAAGUUUAAUUCAACUAAAUAAUAAUGUGAUUCCAUUUGAAAUAUGCCGGUGUGAUAUACAGAGUGAUUAGACAUACAAAACUGGCCUUGUCAUCUUUAUUAAUCUGACCACUAUCUAUGCUUUACAUUUUAAUAAGAACAGAAAAAGAUUUUAUGUCUUUUUAGAGGUAUGCUUAGAAUGUACCUGCCGUUAUGGACUAAACAUAUUAAGGGUCUUUAUGAAAUUGUAAUUCAGUAAGUUUUAUGUGGAUGGUUUGAAUGUGGUAUUUUUCAAAGAUAACGUAAAACAUAACUGUGCAGGCUACAGCUGUAGAAGGCUUAUUUAGCUCAGAAAUGUAUUAGUGUAGUUAUAAUGUAUAUAUUACUGUAUAUAAGGUACUGCUAUAUAUUUGCAGUCAUAUUAUCAUCAGGGAAUUUUCUAUCUUGAGUUAUCAGAAAAGGGAAUUAGAAAAUGUAAUGCUAGCCUUAGGGGAGCAAAGUUUUUUCAAAACUCAUAUCUACUAAUAUCACCUGUCAAUGAUUUAAUGUGUUUAUAGUUUAUGCUAACCUUUCUUAGCUUUCGUUUUUAUCUGUUAUAGUCUGUGUACCUGGUAGAAGGGAAGCCUGCAGCCAAUUGCCAUUACUUUGUAGCUCCUAUCUUUACUCACCAAAUUGCUACUUUCUUUUUUAUUCCUUUUUUUAUUUCUGUAAUGUAGUAACUGUUGGCUGUUAUAAAGCUGCAAUGUCAUUAGCAAAGGUUCAUUCAAAUAAAGUCACUGCUGAUAUUAGGACUUUAAAAUGUUAAUGUCUUUGUAUUUCUUUGGGAUAACAUAUGUUUUUAUAUUGAUGCUUCAAGAGACACAUCUAGAUUCUUUCAUUUCCAGAAGAGUGGUUGUGACAGCAAGACAGAAUAUUGGAACAGUCUGUGGGAUCAUGCCUUUUAGUUUGCAUCUGACAUUUUUCACAAUCACUGGUGGAAAGUAUUCUUCAUGUCUGAUCUGUGCAUAUUCAUUCAUGAAGACUGCCUAACCUCUCCUAACAGACUUUGAUAAAGCCCGAUGCUUCAGAAACUUGCUGUGUGUUUACCACGGGUUCUGCCAGCCAGCUCGAGAGGGGACUUACCUAUUCUUUCAUUAGUCGAGCAUAACAUUAUCUUGAACUAAUUACUCCUCUCCACAUGGCCUUCCUACUAGUGUCAGCUUAUCUUCUGCUGACUCAUGCUCAGGGUGCUCCUGUUGAGGAUGGGGCACUGUUGGAAACACUGAAGUCACAAGUAGGAUUAUUCAGCAAUAAAAGUGAACACUAUUCGGCACAGGUGAGACCUCCUGGCACAAGCCGGCAAAUACCUCAGACAAUCAUCAUAGGAGUUCGUAAAGGAGGGACAAGGGCUUUACUGGAAAUGUUGGAUAUUCAUCCUAAUAUUGUGGUAGCAGCUACGGAAGUCCACUUCUUUGACUGGGAUGAAAAUUAUGUGAAAGGAAUAGACUGGUAUAGAAGUCUGAUGCCGUUUUCUUAUGGAAAUCAAAUUACAAUUGAGAAAACACCAGGCUAUUUUACAUCACCACAGGCUCCAGGAAGAAUUCAUGACAUGAAUAGCUCCAUUAAACUGCUGCUUAUUCUAAGGGAUCCCACUGAGAGAGUUAUAUCUGACUAUACCCAAGUAUAUUACAACAGAGUAGAAAGUCACAAGCCUGUUCAGCUUUUUGAAGAUAUUGUUAUUAAGAAUGGAGCACUUAAUACCAAAUACAAAGCUAUUCAGAGAAGUCUAUAUGAUGUUCAUAUGGAAAAGUGGCUUAAGCAUUUCAGUUUGGAUCAGAUUCACAUAGUGGAUGGCAAUACUUUAAUCAAGGACCCUCUUCCUGAAUUACAAAAAGUUGAAAGAUUUCUAAAUCUUCCUUCCCGAAUUAUGUCUUCUAAUUUUUAUUUUAACCAAACCAAGGGAUUCUACUGCAUUAGAAGCGAUGGAAGGGAGAGAUGUUUACAUGAAUCCAAAGGGCGUCCCCAUCCUCUUGUUAACAGCACUGUUUUAGAGCAACUGUAUUCUUACUUCAGAGAGCACAAUGCAAAAUUUUACAGAAUGGUUAAUCAUUCCUUUGACUGGCAUUAAUGCAUUUGGAAUCAAUGUUUCUUAAAAAGGGCCUGAAACAAACUUUUUCAAACGGAUCUUUCUAAACUGUAGAGAACAGUAUUAUGAGAACUUAACAUCCUGGUUAUAUGCUUCGUUGGAAUAACACCUCUAACUCAUGGAAAUGGUACCCUUUAUGUUGGGGAAAAACAAGUUUCACAUAUUUGUAUGAUUACUGUGAGUCAAAUUCUGAUCUUCUUUCUCUCAUCAUGCAAAUACAUUAACUUCAGCAGACUUAUUUCAGAUAUGUAUGUUACAAGAUUUGAGCUGUUUUGGAAAAAUGACUACUUUGAACAGUGUAGAAAAUGUAAAUGUUUGAAAUGGUAUUAUUCUAACUGUUCUGUAUUUUUUGUUGUUAGUAUUUUUUUUAUAUCACACAAUGAUAGUGGCAUUGAUUUCUAGAAUUUUUCAUACAGUAAGUUAAAUUGUAUCUUAAAACAGGGGGCAUAUAUAGUGGCUCCAAUAAAUAAUUCAUCCGCUGAUAAUACACCGAAGUACUUAAUUAAUAAUAGAGGGAAUCUGUUUCACUUGUGAUUUUGAAUAGGUGAACUAGAAGCUCCCUAUCAGUAUAUCAUUAGUAUUAAACCACACUCUUACCAUCUUGGGUUUACAAAAAAAAAAAAUCUCCAAAGAAUAUAACUGUUUGAUGAAGCUUAAACUGAGUCUCCUGAAUGUAAAGAAAUUAAAAUAUCCCAGGCAACCUCAAUUUACACUGUUAUUCUGUACACUAAAAACAACAACAACAAAAAAAAAAACCUUAAUGGAAAAAAUAAUUUAUAUCAGCAACUGUACAAAUAUUUGAUUAUAUAAAUUAUGUCACUUUGCUCUUGAAUGGAAAAGGUAUCCGUUAAUACUACCAUAUUAAUCAUGUUUGCAUUCUGUGACUAGUUAACUCUCCCUCUCCUGGCUUUAGUUUACGUAUCUCCAUUGGUACAUUGAUUCUUGCUGGGGGAAAAAAAAAAUUGCUUGCCCUCCAAAGCAUCGAAUAUUUUUAUUUUGUUAUUUCUAAUACAGAUCUUGGGAUGUUCUCAAAGUUAAAACAUCUUGUUAUACUGUAUAUCUCAGGCACAGUGUUAAGUAUGCUAGGUAUGACAUACUCAGAUUAUAUAUAAAAAACAUCCAACUAUACAACUGCAUUAUGCAUUUUUUUGUUUUUAAUAUUUUCUUUGACAGUAUUGUUCUUCUUUUUCAUGUAAACAUUUUGUUAUGUAUCAAUACCAAAGAAGAAAAUCAACUUGAAAUGUUAAAUGUGGUGCCAGAUAGCACUACAGGUGCAGAUGUGCUUGUUUGACAUUGUACCUUGCAAUCCAGACACUCUGGUGCACCCCCUAGUAGAAGGGUUCACCAGGCACAAUCCCUUUAAGCUUCUCAGAACACUGGUGAGCUGCAGCUGUGUGAGCCUGCUCGGAGCAUCGCAGCAUCAAUCUCUGCCUAACCCCGGUGAGGUUCCUGAAUCUGUGUCCUUCUCUCUAAGCCACUGCUCAAGCCUACAGGAGUGUAUGUCCCUAACAUGGGAUUCAGUCUUCCAUUUCACAGGCUAAAAGGCAUCAAGUCUUUCUCCUUCUUCUCUGAAGUUUACAGCUAAUCUUUAAAUGAGUUGAAUGCAGCAACACCAGUUGGCAGAAGCUGUACACAUCUUUGAAAAAUGCAGGUCCCUUUGUGGAAUUUACAUUUCAAGGAAUGCUGAUCUGUAUGGAUUAGUGAUGCAUAUAUCUACUUGAUUUGCUAGCACUCUUCACUCUUGCUCAGCAUUUUUGGGAAGGACGGAGUUGAUGGGUUGAGUUCAAUGAUCAUUUUAGAGUUUACUAAUACUGGAAGAAAUAUAUUCUGCAUAGUAUAAUUUGGGAGAAGGGGUGGUUGUUUUGGUUUGGUUUUACAUAAAUAACAAACCUCAUGUGAAGUUUUGUUUUGGUAAAUAAAUGGUCUACAAAGAUGCAACUUAACCUCCCCAUAACAGAAUUCAAUAAAUAUAGUAGACUAAUUUAACAUUACAAACUGUUUCCAUAAGUUUCUCAUUUUGUGGUCUGAAAAAUAUUAUUUCAUGCAGUCUUGACCUUCUUCAUUCUUACUAUCUUCAAAAGAUAACCCUCCUUCCCUCAUUCUCAGGAGGGGGAUCAGAUCAACUUAGAAGAUCCACUGAGGCAUACUUUAGUAAUAUUGAAAUAAAAAGCACUGAAUUUUUGGCACUUGGAGUUCAAAACUAGUAAAAUUUUUGAAAAAACUCAAGGCUCACGAUCUGUUUAAAGACAUUAUUAACAAGUCAGUUCUCAAUUUAAGAAAUUACAAAUACCUCUUAAGAUUUUCCAUAAUUGAUAGCAAAACAUAAACUAUGCUUCUCCAGAUUAUUCAUUAAAGGACUUUCAUUAUUUGAUACUCGAGGUGUUUGCAGAAAUUAAUUUCAUGUGUUAAGGGUACUUAAAGAGAUCAUGCAAUUGUUUCAAAGGUUUUUUGGAGCAUCUGAAACAGAUGAUAGAGUCAUGUGUAAGAGUACAGCAGAAUUUAUGAUGGUUUGAGCAGCUCUUUGAUGAUGUUUUGCAUUCCACAAAUAUUAAGCUUUAACUUUAAAUACUGUUCCUUUCCUUUUUAGUUAAAAUGAGUAAGUUAUAGCUGCUUUCAUCUAAUGUCACUGAGAAUUAGCAAUGUCAAGCAACUGCAGCUCUAACUGGAUCAGUUUAGCCUUUGCCACUAUAAGCAACGCACUCAUACUUAAUACAUAGAUGAGUAAUAUUACUGGGGUUUUAAUAUGGGCUACAUAUAUUACUUGUAGUACAUAAAGACAAAGUGCUGGGAAGCUUAAGUGCUAGAUUUUUGCCUCAAAAAGCACCUAGUACUUCACUAAUGGGAAGAAAACAAAGAGGUUCUACUAUUGCACUCACCUCCAUUCUUUCACCAGGAGGAGCGGUGGAUUUUUCCAUUGUAUCCUUGGUAUCCAGCUGCUCAAAGGCCUUGGGCUGGCUUCUGGUCUUUCCUUUCACCACUGAGCCUUGAUAGAGCACUUACAGUUCUUCUUAAAGAAUAUCUGUUAAUGUAGAGACAUUUUUUGGAAUAUCCAUAGACAAUAUUGUGGAGAACUUUACAGAGGGCAUAUACUUCAUGCAUGUCGUUGUAUGAUGCUACACAACAUCAACUCCUUCAGUAUCCUUUUGAUACAAAGCCAAUAGAUAAUCCUAUAAAAUGCAUCAAAGAAAGAUUAGAUUGACUACUGUAGGGAAGCAUAUCUGCAUACAGUUUUCAGUCUUCACGCACAUUUCAAGAGCUCAUUAAUUAAAAAUUGGGUUGGUUCCAGCAAGUUUGGCUGCUUAUUGCCUUUGUAAAUUCAGAUGUUUUCAUGAGUUGGACAAUAAUUUUAAUAUUGUCAUAAUCCCUAUAGUUUCUUGUUUAUGUGGUCAAAAACUAAAAUAAUAGGAGUUAUUACUUUGCUUUGUAGGAGCACAGUUGGGAAGAAAAAAAAAGACACACACACACACACCCCUCAAUACCUUGAUUCUUAGUGAGAGUUGCACAGUAACAAUACUCACAAUAACAUUUCCUUGCAGGGAAACGAACAUUUAAAUUAUUUCAGUAAAAAUUAUACUCCUAUAGAUUAUUAUUUUCUGUACUUCUGGAUUUGAUACUUCAUUUCCUUCAAAAGCCUGAAUUUUGUUGUAGAAAUGAACAGACACAUUGUAAUUAAAAUCAGUAGUAAUUUGCCUAUCACAUUAAUCAUUACCAGCAGUUAAUGGCCAGAUAAUUUCCACUUCAAUUACUUCACAUUUCAAUAUACUUACUAAAUUGUUUUGAUAUUUUAUAACACAAAUCUAAAAUUUAGAACCAACAGUGGAUAAAAAGACUUUGUAAUGUCAUUCUGUGAUUACAGAGGAAUUGUCAUGUCUUUAAGGUUAAUAAACAGUGAUAUGAGCUUACCACAAUUCCUGGAAAAAUUUUGGAAGCCAAGAUACUAACACAACUGCAAACUAUAAAUUAAUACUUGAAGUUGAAUCUGCUACUUAGGGAAAAUACAACAGAUUAAAACAGACUGACAAAAAUCAUACUUUCCUGGUGAAAUAGAUGUCAUGUAAAAUGUACAGUAUCAUGCAUUAGCUCCAUGUAACAAGUACUAUGAAGUCUGUUUUCUGAUGCAAAAUGAUUUUAUGCUUUUACGUUGUAUAUUCUUUCAGUUGCAUUACAAAAACCUCUCAGUUAAGUGUUUAAAGAAAACCAUCUUAAUGUAAACUUUUUGCCAGUGGUACAGUUUUUCUCUGAAAUGACAUUUCUCCGGUUUUGUGUUUUUUCCUCCAAGAUAAAAAGGUGGAUUGAGUCACACUCCAAUAAAAGUAGAGGGUUAUCGUGCCAGAAUAAAGAAUAUUACUUCUGUUUA